UUGAUGAAUGUCUUCUUGCUGGACGACAGUUGCACUAGUCUAGUCUAUUAGUUUCUUCAUCCUUGCCCGCAAAUAGCAGAUGAAGGUUGAAUGAAUGAGAAAUUACAGCUACUAGAGGACGAGGCCGUGGAAGAGCACGAGCACGAUGAUACCAGCAAAGAGGAAAAAUAUGGAGACCAUUUGGAAGUUUUUGGAGAGGUGGUGGCGGUAGAGGCGGUAGAGGAGAUAGAGGAGGCAUAAAAGAACGUCGCUAUAACAAUUUGCUUUUACGCGCCAUUCAUACUUCAAUUGGUGUAUAUCUCCAUUUCGUAUUGACAUCACCUGUUUAGUUCGGCCACAUCCUUAGUACAGGGCAUCAAUCAUGAAUCUUUUCACCCAUCAACCGUGUAGGUAAAACGUGAAAAGCCAUGGAUGCUUCCGAAAUAUCCAGAGUUGGAUCGAGUUGAGUUAGUUUUACUAUAGUAUAUGUAUCAACUCAACCCAGCGCAUUUGCAUAGAGCAUAAUUACAUUAAAGUGAGAAAAUAAUAGAUUAUAAAUAUUCUCAUGUUUGCUUAUAAUAUUUCUUCAUGUUAUAUAUUAUUUUUUUAGAAUGAAUGUAACACACAAACAAAAAAUAAAAUAAUAAAAUAAUAAAAUUAAUUACAAUAAUAUAAUAAUAAUUAUUAUUACCUAUAUAAUUUCUGAAAUUGUUUUUCUAGGAUAUCAAAAGGAUCUUGAGUAUCUCUUAAAAUUUUACGCAUAAUACGUAAAUUCUCGUUUCUUUCGUUUUGUUCCUCAUUAACUAUCCAUCAUGCAGCAACCAUCGUAAUUGAUUAACUUAUUAUGAAUAUGGAUAUUACUUUUUAGGGAAAAUAUCAAUUCGCAUGAAAGUUUUUAUUUUUUCACUUUUUCGCAUUAAAAUUUUCACUU
This is a long non-coding RNA of Odontomachus brunneus, 910 nucleotides long. RefSeq lists it as uncharacterized. The transcript has 5 exons. NCBI's taxonomy places the organism in Eukaryota, Metazoa, Arthropoda, Insecta, Hymenoptera, Formicidae. The record is from RefSeq and is a predicted model, not a curated record.